RNA transcript from Hevea brasiliensis (rubber tree), 2232 nucleotides. It is a transcript of the gene named AP-3 complex subunit sigma, with no coding region annotated. The transcript has 3 exons. The record is from RefSeq and is a predicted model, not a curated record. NCBI's taxonomy places the organism in Eukaryota, Viridiplantae, Streptophyta, Magnoliopsida, Malpighiales, Euphorbiaceae.
AACACCAAAUACCAAAUAUGCUCUCUAACCCCAUGACGCCCGUAACAGCAAAACUAGUACUCAUAUGGCGCGCAUCAUUUGAGAUGAAAUAACAAUUAGCCCUAAACAAUAAAAACAAUAGAGGCAAAUUCUGGUUAGAGAGAUCAUAGAUCAUAAACUACAGGAGCAGCUUGCCUGGGAAGUCGGAAUCAAGAUAGAUUCUCAAUCUCCAAAGAAGAGGUGAAAAUGAUAAAAGCGGUGACAAUAAUGAACCCCCAAGGCAAAUUUCGCCUAGUCAAAUUUUAUGAUUUUUUGUUUUAUGCAGUGGCCCAGAGAAUGUCUGCAAUUUCAUGGAGGUCGAUUCUAUCUUUAGUCCGGCAUUAAAUACUUCUGCCUCUCGCUCGCAAUUUGAUUAAAAUGGCAGAUUCUAUGCUUUUUGUGAAGGAUUCUUUUUUCCAUCUAUGGCAGGAUAGUCGUCUGGGUACAAACACUAUGCAACUCUCUACUAUGUGUUUGUAUUUGAUACCUGUGAAAAUGAGCUUGCGGUGCUAGAUCUCAUUCAAGGUCGUUACCAAUAAUGAAUUAUUGAAAUGCAAUUAUAUUUGGGCGUGAGUGUUAUGUUUCAAUUUUCAAAAGUAAAUGUUGGAAACACAUAGUAAAGUGGGUUUCAGUCAAAAUGAUUGAUUAAUUGGAAGUUCAUUACCAAAUCGAGGAUAUGGUAGGGAUGUUAAUACAUUAUCGAUCAUUGGGUUUGCACAUUGUAAUAAAAUUUCUAUGGUCAUGGAAGAACACAAAUUUAGAGAAUAUCUAUUUUAUAUGAUAGUUAUUGCUAAGAUGGAGUGGCUGUCAUUUUAGUAAUUAUUUUACAUCCAAAUUUGAACAAUAGAUAAGAAUAGCUAUUCCAUCUUAUCAUAUUUCAUGCUUUUCAAUGGACCAAAUGAAGCCUACAAGUAUGCAUGGUUAAUUAAAAAGACAGUAAAGUGUAACUAAUGCACAUCCUGGAGGAAGAUACAUCGGUUGUGUGCAAUACUUUGUUGUUUGGAUUGGUUUUAUGGAACCGAUGUCGCUUUCCCUUGAUUGAAUUUUUGUGCAGUUCAUACUUCAACCAGUGCCUUCCGAAUUCUGAUAAACACCCAAUGUCUUUUUUGAGCUUCAAAAUCUUUAACUCCAUCAACUGAUAUAACUACAUCUUCUUUGUUCAUGAGCUGGCAGCUUGCUGCUUUUGUAAUCUUAUUGUUUAUCACGAGAUGAAGGUACUUUAUUGCUUAAGAUUAGGGCUGGAUAACUUUCAGGAUCUGCCCAUGAAUAGUUGACUUCCCAUCUGAAAUAUUAAAAUGUUCUCUUUAAGUUUAGAGCUUGUAAUUAAACUUCCGUUUCUUCAGUUUUUGUAGAAACACUGGGCAAAUGCUUCGGAAAUGUGUGUGAGCUUGACAUGGUGUUCAAUUACAGCAAGUUGCAUACAAUUUUAGAUGAGAGUUUUUGGAGGUCAGGUUCUUGAAACAAGUUCCACUGAAGUUAAGAAGGCUGUUGAAGAAAUAUCGAAGUGACUCUCCCCCUCUCUUUCACACGCAUAAACACAAAUAUUUUUUAUCAUCUAUCUAAUGUGUUACAUGUGAAACAGGCUAGAAGCAUUCUCAAAUUCCAUCACUUUAGUUUCCAAAACUGUUUCUGGUUGGCGAAGUCGACAACACAUUGAUGUAGAGAGAUGUUAAAAUGAUUGCGAUUAACCCAUCGAGCAUCAUGGCGCUCAGACCUGAAAUGGUUUCUGAGACGUUAUACUUACAUUAAGCAAGCUGCUAUGGUGGUCAUAGUUUCUAGCAUUGGUGAAUAUUUUAAAUGAUAGUUUGUGGAAAACUUUCAGAUUAGUCUACAAGAUUGGAAGUUAAUGAGUGAUUUAAAUCACGAGCUUCAAUUCAUUCUGUUGCUGAUGACCUGGGAUAAUAUGGAAGUCCAAAUAAAGGAUCAGAGGGGUGAUUGUUCCCCACGAAUAGUUCAUCAUAACACAGUAUUCGAAUAACAUCAAUAUGAAUAGGAAACCUUAGAAACUUAGAGCAGCAAGUUUGUGUAAUUGAAUUUAUUGGCUUUUAACAUCCUGGAGAACUAGAUGUGCAGCGUUACGUCCGGGCGCACCCAUCACACCACCACCUGGAUGGCUUCCACUUCCGCACAGGUACAGUCCUCGAAGAGGUGUCCUAUAGUUUGACCUGUAUCAUCAAGGAAAUUUUAGUUAUAAUAAAUUUGUUCAAUGCGCGA